Molecule: long non-coding RNA, 341 nt
Organism: Anastrepha obliqua
Lineage: Eukaryota; Metazoa; Arthropoda; Insecta; Diptera; Tephritidae
Exons: 3
Source: RefSeq, a predicted model, not a curated record
CUUGACAUAUCGGCUCCCUUAUUUGAAAACGUGUUGCUUCUUUACAAAAAAAAGUACCUAUUUCACAAAAAAAUUUUUGAAUUGUAGUAAAAACUAAACUUUUGGUGCAAAUUAUUUGGUCGGCAACACCGUUUCCACUUUGACGCUUUGCUUUGUUAUUAUUCGUUGAAAAUCUUUUAUCUGUUUGUAAACAUUCAAGUCGAUUAUGUCUUACAUAUGGUGAUAGUCGAUUAUUUGGAGUCGGCUUUCUGCUGCAGAAAACCACCGGUUUGUGAAUUUUCAUACAUGUUUUUAUAGCAGCGUUUUUGCAAAUAUAACAGAUACCACCUUACAUACAAUAC